AACCUUUUGUAGUUCAGAAGCACGAUGACUGGAUUUUCACUCUGUUGUGUGUGAUGUACCCCUCUCAAACCUCACCUUGUCAUGUUACCCAUCUGACA
Molecule: small nucleolar RNA, 98 nt
Organism: Otolemur garnettii (small-eared galago)
Lineage: Eukaryota; Metazoa; Chordata; Mammalia; Primates; Galagidae
Source: Ensembl